GACGAUUAUAGGUUGAUUUACUGUAGGUUGAGUGGUGUUUCUCUAGAUUACUCUGUGUUUGCGUGGUUAUGUGUCUCUUUGUUGCCCUGUGAUGGACAGGAAAUCAAUCAAAGUUGACCCUGCUUCGUAGCCAAUGGCGACACUGCAAGGAUUAAUCGUGGAGACCGUGCGCAGUGCCUCCAGGCCAGCAGGGGGCUCUCAUGAGUGCAGGACUUUUAACUGGUAUUUCAAAGUUUUCUCCAAAGUUUUACGGAGUUUAAAAUAAUGUAAAAUGCUUUUAGACCUUUUCGAAUGGUUUCGGUUUUAAACGAACUAACAAAUAUGGGUUAAAACUGUUAUGUUCCGGGGUUCUGGCUGCAUGGUGGGAGUUCCUGUGCACCCUUAUUACCUUUUACCACCAGAUGGCGACAGGUUCCGGCUGGAGUGCGGUGCAUUAUUAUCCGCAGCUGUUCGUGAUCAUCCUCAUCAGCGGCGCAGACUUAAGGAGUUGGCCGCCAGUCCAGCGUCGCCUGAGUGUUAGCCAGUCACGGUGAUCCUUUGAUGAGAUCCCGGUUGAAUUCCUGGCUUUUGAACCAUCCUCGUGACGCCGUGGAAAGUAUCCACAGGUUGCCCGAGUUCCCAGACUUACCUCUCCGUUGUUUUGGCAAUUAUCUCCUGGACCCCACGGCUGGCGGCCGUACCACUCCUCCGUCUCCCCGCUGCUCUCGUGCCUACCUGUCCGCUGCCCACCGCACUCCUCCGUUGUUCCUGGACCCACCAAGAACCGAGACCCCGGACAUACUCGGUUUCCCCUCCAAGACUCUGUUCAUCAGCAACAAUGAACCAUUGUUGCCGUCCCUGUUUUUGCCCCUGGACCAGACCAUCCUGAUUCUCACUGAUAAUUGUGUGAUCUUUAUUAAAUCAUUUAACACUGA
This is a long non-coding RNA of Xiphophorus hellerii (green swordtail), 914 nucleotides long. RefSeq lists it as uncharacterized. The transcript has 3 exons. Lineage: Eukaryota; Metazoa; Chordata; Actinopteri; Cyprinodontiformes; Poeciliidae. The record is from RefSeq and is a predicted model, not a curated record.